Zalophus californianus (California sea lion) is the source of this 833-nucleotide long non-coding RNA. RefSeq lists it as uncharacterized. The transcript has 4 exons. NCBI's taxonomy places the organism in Eukaryota, Metazoa, Chordata, Mammalia, Carnivora, Otariidae. The record is from RefSeq and is a predicted model, not a curated record.
UUAGCAUGGCAGGCCUGAAGCGGGAAUGCCUGUGCACAACUGUGAGGUAGUGACUGUGGGGUGAAGAGAAAGAGUACGGAGGUUGAGAUGACACAAGAUCACACAAGAUUUGGUGUACUCUGGGAUAUACAAGAACACUUUGGAAAUUAACCGAAAGUUAAGCUGUGCACUUGGUUGAAGAGGACAACCUUCCCUGACAGAGGAGGACCAUUCUUCAGUGAAGGGUGUACCAGUAAUUGUGCUUCCCUACUAGAACGUCCAAACAAGCUCUCAAGGACCAUUUAUAGGAGAACAUAGGGUAGUCAAGCCUCCAAGACUCCAGACACGUCCAAAUGAGAUCCAGUUGGUCUUCGCCGGUGCUCAAAGACUAUAGAAGCAAUCUAGUUUUUAGUUCUUGGAUGAGCUAGAACUGAUGGUGACUCUACAGCAAAACUGAAACAAACUGUCAUUUUAUGGACAAUGUCUAUUUAUCUUUCCCACAUUAUUAGAGUCAGUGGUUGAAUUGGGAGGCAAGAGAGUGGCUAUAGCCAUAACACUGCAUACUUAUUGGCUGAGGAAGAAGCGAGCUGGUGUCAAAUUCUCCUGUCAUGUUCUUAUCCUUAAGAUAUCUUGACUAUGAACAAUAGUUUCAAUAAGGAAGACAGAAUGAGUUCUGACAGGAAGGUUGGGAGCUGUGACGGGCAGGAGAGGAAUGAAGCCAAACAGCAUGGAGAUGUGUCAUCACCACUGGGUUUUACCUUGCUUUACAUUCAGUUACUUGUUUUUCUUUCAAAGUGCUCGGCACUUAUUCAAGAAACAGCAUAUACGUUCUGACUUUGAAGUAAAAGAUGAAC